UACAGAGGGGGCAAGCGUUAUUCGGAAUUAUUGGGCGUAAAGGGCGCGUAGGCGGCUUUGCAAGUGACGGGUGAAAGCCCUCGGCUUAACCGAGGAACUGCCUUUGAUACUGGAGAGCUUGAGUCCGGAAGAGGUGAGUGGAACUCCGAGUGUAGAGGUGAAAUUCGUAGAUAUUCGGAAGAACACCAGUGGCGAAGGCGGCUCACUGGUCCGGUACUGACGCUGAUGUGCGAAAGCGUGGGGAGCAAACAGG
Molecule: ribosomal RNA, 253 nt
Filed under: uncultured bacterium
Lineage: Bacteria
Description: partial 16S ribosomal RNA
Rfam family: Bacterial small subunit ribosomal RNA
Source: RNAcentral